UUAAAGAUGCCAGACAAAUGGGGAUGGUUUAGGGUUAUCUAAUGUGUUUAAAUUAAAACACUCUUUAAU
Molecule: transfer RNA, 69 nt
Filed under: Microcotyle sebastis
Lineage: Eukaryota; Metazoa; Platyhelminthes; Monogenea; Mazocraeidea; Microcotylidae
Description: tRNA-Leu
Source: RNAcentral